Molecule: ribosomal RNA, 98 nt
Filed under: Nannospalax galili (Upper Galilee mountains blind mole rat)
Lineage: Eukaryota; Metazoa; Chordata; Mammalia; Rodentia; Spalacidae
Source: RNAcentral
GUACAUGGCCAUAGCACCCUGAACAUGCCUGAUCUCAUCUGAUCCUGGAAGUUAAUAAGCAGGGUUAGUAUUGAUGGGAGAUGGUAAUGCCAUAUUGC